GGGUCAUUUCAAAGAGGGCUCAUGAGGCUGUGAAACCCAGAGCUCUUAACGCUGUGACCAAAGAUGGAAGUUCUCUAUAGGAAGCCAUAGCACUCCUAAUGUUUGGUGCUAUGUUUUCCUGAGGAGAUAUAAAA
Small nucleolar RNA from Gorilla gorilla gorilla (western lowland gorilla), 134 nucleotides. Ensembl annotates it as small nucleolar RNA, H/ACA box 25. Its record names the gene SNORA25. Lineage: Eukaryota; Metazoa; Chordata; Mammalia; Primates; Hominidae. The record is from Ensembl.